This 253-nucleotide ribosomal RNA is filed under the name uncultured bacterium. RNAcentral's name for it is "partial 16S ribosomal RNA". It matches the Rfam family "Bacterial small subunit ribosomal RNA", at positions 524 to 776 of the family's 1533-position model. The record is from RNAcentral.
UACGUAGGGUGCGAGCGUUGUCCGGAAUUACUGGGCGUAAAGAGCUCGUAGGUGGUUUGUCGCGUUGUUCGUGAAAACCGGGGGCUUAACCCUCGGCGUGCGGGCGAUACGGGCAGACUGGAGUACUGCAGGGGAGACUGGAAUUCCUGGUGUAGCGGCGGAAUGCGCAGAUAUCAGGAGGAACACCGGUGGCGAAGGCGGGUCUCUGGGCAGUAACUGACGCUGAGGAGCGAAAGCGUGGGGAGCGAACAGG